GACGAACGCUGGCGGCGUGCUUAACACAUGCAAGUCGAACGGAAAGGCCCUGCUUUUGUGGGGUGCUCGAGUGGCGAACGGGUGAGUAACACGUGAGUAACCUGCCCUUGACUUUGGGAUAACUUCAGGAAACUGGGGCUAUUACAGGAUAGGAGCUCCUGCUGCUUGGUGGGGGUUGGAAAGUUUCGGCGGUUGGGGAUGGACUCGCGGCUUAUCAGCUUGUUGGUGGGGUAGUGGCUUACCAAGGCUUUGACGGGUAGCCGGCCUGCGAGGGUGACCGGCCACAUUGGGACUGAGAUACGGCCCAGACUCCUACGGGAGGCAGCAGUGGGGAAUAUUGCACAAUGGGCGGAAGCCUGAUGCAGCAACGCCGCGUGCGGGAUGACGGCCUUCGGGUUGUAAACCGCUUUCGCCUGUGACGAAGCGUGAGUGACGGUAAUGGGUAAAGAAGCACCGGCUAACUACGUG
This 468-nucleotide ribosomal RNA is filed under the name uncultured bacterium. Its description in RNAcentral is "partial 16S ribosomal RNA". It matches the Rfam family "Bacterial small subunit ribosomal RNA", at positions 28 to 507 of the family's 1533-position model. The record is from RNAcentral.